AUGUUUGCAACCCUUGAUAAUCGUCGCCUAAAAUACUUUUGGGGACGUUUAUGGAGCGAUACUCUUUUAUUUUUUUGCCAACGUAAAACACAUCUUCUUCAAAAAUCUCAAACAUCAGCAAAAUUGUUUUUCAAAUCCAACAAAUUCGUCCUUCAAGAACGCCUCCACGAGCUUUCUUCUCAGAAUCAGGUUCAAGAGAAAGCUCUACCAACAUCUUCCAUCUUCCAUUGA
Vicia faba (fava bean) is the source of this 231-nucleotide non-coding RNA. The record is from the annotation of a GenBank genome assembly. Lineage: Eukaryota; Viridiplantae; Streptophyta; Magnoliopsida; Fabales; Fabaceae.